CAGAAAAUAAUUUAAAAAAAAUAUUAAACUUGGAGUUUAAAAAUAGAUUUAUAAUUUUCUUUUUCUGA
Molecule: transfer RNA, 68 nt
Filed under: Haplothrips aculeatus
Lineage: Eukaryota; Metazoa; Arthropoda; Insecta; Thysanoptera; Phlaeothripidae
Description: tRNA-Pro
Source: RNAcentral